AUUGAACGCUGGCGGCAGGCUUAACACAUGCAAGUCGAGCGGGGUGAUGGUGCUUGCACUAUCACUUAGCGGCGGACGGGUGAGUAAUGCUUAGGAAUCUGCCUAUUAGUGGGGGACAACAUCUCGAAAGGGAUGCUAAUACCGCAUACGUCCUACGGGAGAAAGCAGGGGAUCACUUGUGACCUUGCGCUAAUAGAUGAGCCUAAGUCGGAUUAGCUAGUUGGUGGGGUAAAGGCCUACCAAGGCGACGAUCUGUAGCGGGUCUGAGAGGAUGAACCGCGACACUGGGACGGAGAAACGGCCCAGACUCCUACGGGAGGCAGCAGUGGGGAAUAUUGGACAAUGGGAGGAACCCUGAUCCAGCCAUGCCGCGUGUGUGAAGAAGGCCUUAUGGUUGUAAAGCACUUUAAGCGAGGAGGAGGCUCUUUUGGUUAAUACCCAAGAUGAGUGUACGUUACUCGCAGAAUAAGCACCGGCUAACUCUGUGCCAGCCGCCGCCGUAA
RNAcentral lists this ribosomal RNA (503 nucleotides) under uncultured bacterium. RNAcentral's name for it is "partial 16S ribosomal RNA". It matches the Rfam family "Bacterial small subunit ribosomal RNA", at positions 30 to 523 of the family's 1533-position model. The record is from RNAcentral.